GCUCUAAGGCUGACAAGAAUAAUACAAAGGGCCUGGUAGUCAAAUCAACAGCAGAAGUGACUGACAGGAAAAGAAGCUGGUGGAUGAAUUAGAUGUGAGAUAAGGAUGAUACCUUUUUGUCAUCUGUCGACUACAAUUCUGAUGAAGAAAAAACUUCAA
This is a long non-coding RNA of Nothoprocta perdicaria, 159 nucleotides long. RefSeq lists it as uncharacterized. The transcript is spliced from 2 exons. The record is from RefSeq and is a predicted model, not a curated record. Lineage: Eukaryota; Metazoa; Chordata; Aves; Tinamiformes; Tinamidae.